GGACCACCCUUUCGGGUUUGAGGCCAUACGGACAGCCGGGUCCAAUGCCGA
The submitters of this non-coding RNA (51 nucleotides) gave its source as unclassified sequences. The record is from Rfam.